GACGAACGCUGGCGGCGUGCCUAAUACAUGCAAGUAGAACGCUGAAGAGAGGAGCUUGCUCUUCUUGGAUGAGUUGCGAACGGGUGAGUAACGCGUAGGUAACCUGCCUUGUAGCGGGGGAUAACUAUUGGAAACGAUAGCUAAUACCGCAUAACAAUGGAUGACACAUGUCAUUUAUUUGAAAGGGGCAAUUGCUCCACUACAAGAUGGACCUGCGUUGUUUUAGCUAGUAGGUGAGGUAAUGGCUCACCUAGGCGACGAUACAUAGCCGACCUGAGAGGGUGAUCGGCCACACUGGGACUGGGACACGGCCCAGACUCCUACGGGAGGCAGCAGUAGGGAAUCUUCGGCAAUGGGGGCAACCCUGAACGAGCAACGCCGCGUGAGUGAAGAAGGUUUUCGGAUCGUAAAGCUCUGUUGUAAGUCAAGAAAGGGUGUGAGAGUGGAAAGUUCACACUGUGACGGUAGCUUACCAGAAAGGGACGGCUAACUACGUG
RNAcentral lists this ribosomal RNA (497 nucleotides) under uncultured bacterium. RNAcentral describes it as "partial 16S ribosomal RNA". It matches the Rfam family "Bacterial small subunit ribosomal RNA", at positions 28 to 507 of the family's 1533-position model. The record is from RNAcentral.